GCAUAUCAAUAAGCGGAGGAAAAGAAACUAACAAGGAUUCCCCUAGUAACUGCGAGUGAAGCGGGAAAAGCUCAAAUUUAAAAUCUGGCUGUCUUCGGCAGUCCGAGUUGUAAUCUAGAGAAGUGUUAUCCGCGUUGGACCGUGUACAAGUCUCCUGGAAUGGAGCAUCAUAGAGGGUGAGAAUCCCGUCUUUGACACGGACUACCAGUGCUUUGUGAUGCGCUCUCAAAGAGUCGAGUUGUUUGGGAAUGCAGCUCAAAAUGGGUGGUAAAUUCCAUCUAAAGCUAAAUAUUGGCGAGAGACCGAUAGCGAACAAGUACCGUGAGGGAAAGAUGAAAAGAACUUUGGAAAGAGAGUUAAACAGUACGUGAAAUUGCUGAAAGGGAAACGCUUGAAGUCAGUCACGUUGGCUAGAAAUCAACCUUGCUUUUGCUGGGCGUACUUUCUGGUUAACGGGUCAGCAUCAAUUUUGACCGUUGGAAAAAGUUCAGAGGAAUGUGGCAUCUUCGGAUGUGUUAUAGCCUCUGUUCGCAUACAAUGGUUGGGAUUGAGGAUCUCAGCACGCCGCAAGGCCGGGUUUCGACCACGUUCGUGCUUAGGAUGCUGGCAUAAUGGCUUUAAUCGACCCGUCUUGAAACACGGACCAAGGAGUCUAACAUGCCUGCGAGUGUUUGGGUGGAAAACCCAAGCGCGCAAUGAAAGUGAAAGUUGAGAUCCCUGUCAUGGGGAGCAUCGACGCCCGGACCAGACCUUUUGUGACGGAUCCGCGGUAGAGCAUGUAUGUUGGGACCCGAAAGAUGGUGAACUAUGCCUGAAUAGGGUGAAGCCAGAGGAAACUCUGGUGGAGGCUCGUAGCGAUUCUGACGUGCAAAUCGAUCGUCAAAUUUGGGUAUAGGGGCGAAAGAC
This 906-nucleotide ribosomal RNA is filed under the name Conocybe pubescens. RNAcentral's name for it is "LSU rRNA". It matches the Rfam family "Eukaryotic large subunit ribosomal RNA", at positions 38 to 931 of the family's 3401-position model. Lineage: Eukaryota; Fungi; Basidiomycota; Agaricomycetes; Agaricales; Bolbitiaceae. The record is from RNAcentral.